GUUGUGGCUCAGCGGUAGAGAGCUUGCCUUGCACCCGUGUGACGCUGGGUUCGAUCCUCAGCACAACA
RNAcentral lists this transfer RNA (68 nucleotides) under Marmota monax (woodchuck). Its description in RNAcentral is "tRNA.Ala". The record is from RNAcentral. Lineage: Eukaryota; Metazoa; Chordata; Mammalia; Rodentia; Sciuridae.